Molecule: ribosomal RNA, 492 nt
Filed under: uncultured bacterium
Lineage: Bacteria
Description: partial 16S ribosomal RNA
Rfam family: Bacterial small subunit ribosomal RNA
Source: RNAcentral
AGUGAACGCUGGCGGUAGGCCUAACACAUGCAAGUCGAACGGCAGCACAGUAAGAGCUUGCUCUUACGGGUGGCGAGUGGCGGACGGGUGAGGAAUACAUCGGAAUCUACUUUUUCGUGGGGGAUAACGUAGGGAAACUUACGCUAAUACCGCAUACGACCUACGGGUGAAAGCAGGGGAUCUUCGGACCUUGCGCGAUUGAAUGAGCCGAUGUCGGAUUAGCUAGUUGGCGGGGUAAAGGCCCACCAAGGCGACGAUCCGUAGCUGGUCUGAGAGGAUGAUCAGCCACACUGGAACUGAGACACGGUCCAGACUCCUACGGGAGGCAGCAGUGGGGAAUAUUGGACAAUGGGCGCAAGGCUGAUCCAGCCAUACCGCGUGGGUGAAGAAGGCCUUCGGGUUGUAAAGCCCUUUUGUUGGGAAAGAAAAGCAGCAGGUUAAUACCCCGCUGUUCUGACGGUACCCAAAGAAUAAGCACCGGCUAACUUCGUG